AUACAUGCAAGUCGAGCGAACAGAUAAGGAGCUUGCUCCUUUGACGUUAGCGGCGGACGGGUGAGUAACACGUGGAUAACCUACCUAUAAGACUGGGAUAACUUCGGGAAACCGGAGCUAAUACCGGAUAACAUAUUGAACCGCAUGGUUCAAUAGUGAAAGGCGGCUUUGCUGUCACUUAUAGAUGGAUCCGCGCCGUAUUAGCUAGUUGGUAAGGUAACGGCUUACCAAGGCAACGAUACGUAGCCGACCUGAGAGGGUGAUCGGCCACACUGGAACUGAGACACGGUCCAGACUCCUACGGGAGGCAGCAGUAGGGAAUCUUCCGCAAUGGGCGAAAGCCUGACGGAGCAACGCCGCGUGAGUGAUGAAGGUCUUCGGAUCGUAAAACUCUGUUAUCAGGGAAGAACAAAUGUGUAAGUAACUGUGCACAUCUUGACGGUACCUGAUCAGAAAGCCACGGCUAACUACGUGCCAGCAGCCGCGGUAAUACGUAGGUGGCAAGCGUUAUCCGGAAUUAUUGGGCGUAAAGCGCGCGUAGGCGGUUUUUUAAGUCUGAUGUGAAAGCCCACGGCUCAACCGUGGAGGGUCAUUGGAAACUGGAAAACUUGAGUGCAGAAGAGGAAAGUGGAAUUCCAUGUGUAGCGGUGAAAUGCGCAGAGAUAUGGAGGAACACCAGUGGCGAAGGCGACUUUCUGGUCUGUAACUGACGCUGAUGUGCGAAAGCGUGGGGAUCAAACAGGAUUAGAUACCCUGGUAGUCCACGCCGUAA
This 772-nucleotide ribosomal RNA is filed under the name Staphylococcus sp. P3-1(2011). RNAcentral's name for it is "bacterial SSU rRNA". It matches the Rfam family "Bacterial small subunit ribosomal RNA", at positions 51 to 805 of the family's 1533-position model. Lineage: Bacteria; Bacillati; Bacillota; Bacilli; Caryophanales; Staphylococcaceae. The record is from RNAcentral.